This 719-nucleotide ribosomal RNA is filed under the name uncultured bacterium. RNAcentral describes it as "bacterial SSU rRNA". It matches the Rfam family "Bacterial small subunit ribosomal RNA", at positions 63 to 802 of the family's 1533-position model. The record is from RNAcentral.
CGGACUUGAGAGAGCUUGCUCUCUCAGUUAGUGGCGGACGGGUGAGUAACACGUGAGCAACCUGCCUUUAAGAGUGGGAUAACGGUCGGAAACGACCGCUAAUACCGCAUAAUAUACAUGAAUCGCAUGGUUUGUGUAUCAAAGAUUUAUCGCUUAAAGAUGGGCUCGCGUCUGAUUAGCUGGUUGGUGAGGUAACGGCUCACCAAGGCGACGAUCAGUAGCCGUACUGAGAGGUAGAACGGCCACAUUGGGACUGAGACACGGCCCAGACUCCUACGGGAGGCAGCAGUGGGGAAUAUUGCACAAUGGAGGAAACUCUGAUGCAGCGAUGCCGCGUGAGGGAAGAAGGUUUUCGGAUUGUAAACCUCUGUCUUAAGGGACGAUAAUGACGGUACCUUAGGAGGAAGCUCCGGCUAACUACGUGCCAGCAGCCGCGGUAAUACGUAGGGAGCGAGCGUUGUCCGGAAUUACUGGGUGUAAAGGGAGUGUAGGCGGGAUGGUAAGUUAGGUGUGAAAUGCGGAGGCUCAACCUCCGAGCUGCACUUAAAACUGCUGUUCUUGAGUGAAGUAGAGGUUGGCGGAAUUCCCAGUGUAGCGGUGAAAUGCGUAGAUAUUGGGAGGAACAUCAGUGGCGAAGGCGGCCAACUGGGCUUUUACUGACGCUGAGGCUCGAAAGCGUGGGGAGCAAACAGGAUUAGAUACCCUGGUAGUCCACGCUG